This 496-nucleotide unclassified non-coding RNA is filed under the name Hevea brasiliensis (rubber tree). Lineage: Eukaryota; Viridiplantae; Streptophyta; Magnoliopsida; Malpighiales; Euphorbiaceae. The record is from RNAcentral.
UGUUUAAUCGGGACAAUUCUCAUUUGCAUGCAGAUAUUCUCUGAUUUGAAGGCUCAGAUUUUAGCUUCACAGGUAAGUGUGUUUCUGCUGGCAUUUUUAUUGCAAAAAUGCUAUCUGUAACUGAACAGUGGAGUCCAGUUAAUGCCUGUAUGUUGGAGUUCAUUAUGUGAUAUGUUGGUCUAGUAGAGGAUAAUUCAGAAUGAUUCAUUAGUUUGUUUUAAUUAUGAAUCUGCUAAAGUUUUAUGCUGAGUAGCUUAGGUCUGUUGGGUUGAAUUGAAUGUGAAUGUAAACAAUAUUGAAGCAUUGGGGCCAAAAUAAUUAUCAGAGGUUAUGCAUUUAGGAAUAAAUAGAAAGUUGCAUUUGAUGAGUUAGUGAACUUGGAUUCCUAAAAUUUUAUGGUUCUUUGUGUGUGUUUAGCUGUUUUCACAAUGUUAUUCUCCUAGUGACACUCUUCUUCAUAUUGCAGCCCGUUGAUCAACAUCAGCGGCUUUCCCUU